This 911-nucleotide ribosomal RNA is filed under the name Rhinocladiella aquaspersa. RNAcentral describes it as "LSU rRNA". It matches the Rfam family "Eukaryotic large subunit ribosomal RNA", at positions 38 to 965 of the family's 3401-position model. Lineage: Eukaryota; Fungi; Ascomycota; Eurotiomycetes; Chaetothyriales; Herpotrichiellaceae. The record is from RNAcentral.
GCAUAUCAAUAAGCGGAGGAAAAGAAACCAACAGGGAUUGCCUCAGUAACGGCGAGUGAAGCGGCAACAGCUCAAAUUUGAAAUCUGGCCUCUUUGGGGUCCGAGUUGUAAUUUGUAGAGGAUGUUUCGGGUACCGCCUCGGCCUAAAUUUCUUGGAACAGAAUGUCAAAGAGGGUGAGAAUCCCGUCUUGGACCGGCGGUAGGGCCCAUGUGAAACUCCUUCGACGAGUCGAGUUGUUUGGGAAUGCAGCUCAAAAUGGGUGGUAAAUUUCAUCUAAAGCUAAAUAUUGGCCAGAGACCGAUAGCGCACAAGUAGAGUGAUCGAAAGAUGAAAAGCACUUUGAAAAGAGAGUUAAACAGUAUGUGAAAUUGUUGAAAGGGAAGCGCUUGCAACCAGACUUGUGCUCGGCGGUUCCCCCUUCCUUUUGGUUGGGUUAUUCCGUCGUGUCCAGGCCAACAUCGGUUCUGGGGGUCGGUCAAAGGCCUUGGGAAUGUACCUACCCUUCGGGCGUAGACUUAUAGCCCUUGGUGUCAUGCGGCCUCCCGGGACCGAGGAACGCGCUUCGGCUCGGAUGUUGGCGUAAUGGUUGUCAGCGACCCGUCUUGAAACACGGACCAAGGAGUCUAACAUCUAUGCGAGUGUUUGGGUGUCAAACCCGGAACGCGGAAUGAAAGUGAACGGAGGUAGGAAGCUUCGGCUGCACUAUCGACCGAUCCUGAUGUCUUCGGAUGGAUUUGAGUAAGAGCAUAGCUGUUGGGACCCGAAAGAUGAUGAACUAUGCCUGAAUAGGGUGAAGCCAGAGGAAACUCUGGUGGAGGCUCGCAGCGGUUCUGACGUGCAAAUCGAUCGUCAAAUUUGGGUAUAGGGGCGAAAGACUAAUCGAAUCAUCUGGUAGCUGGUUCCUGCCGAU